UCCAACUGGAGGCGAGAGGAAAAACAGUGCAACUGUGUAGCCUUUUACACAGAUCUACAUGCGUCCUUUCAGCUCCGAGAGCUUGGGAGGACUUCUGUUUCCCAAAAGUUGGAUCAAGCGAACUGGCAUUGACUCCCUGGGUCUUCCCCCGACUCUUCCCUUAUUUUAAUAAUAACAAUCUCUAACUAGUUCUCCAGGGAUCAGGGCUGAUUUCACCACUAUGUCUGGUAUGUCCAAAGCCGUGCCAAUCAAUAGCCACUGAUUCCGCUUCAAAAGUAAGCUGUGCCAGCAUCAAGCUGUUCUGUCCCUCACUCCAAUGGCUAUCCUGGCUCACUCUCCAGUCCAGCCUUCUCCCCUCUCCAACCCCCUCCCCUGCUCACAGCCACGACGCUGACAUCUGAUGGCCUUUGAUAAUACCGCCUGCUCCAGCCUAAAGACAAGGACUUGGUGUCUUUGAACUCGUUUGGAUAUUGGUCUCUACAGCAGCCAUAUCCUGAUGCAUUCCUGUAUGUGCGGUGAGCAUCUCCCUCUCAGGGACCGUCGGCUGUAUCUUCCCUUUAUAGAUUUUUGUCCACUUGGAGGACCCUUCCCACUUCUUUUGGUUUAUCUUUCAUUAAGCCCCAUGCUUUUCCCUUAAUGUUUUGUGUCCGCUCACAACGCCUGCUCUAAAAAGAUGUUUACAGGCUGUAAUCACAUGGUUCUUGUUAGCAUCCUUGGCUACGUUUUAAUGUUUCCUAAUACUUUACAAUUCCCAAGAAACGGAUCUCGGUUUUGGUCCCGCAGAAACUUGGCAGGGUCCCUCAGGCAGCUGCUCCACCGCCUAGACCCACUGAGGAAUUGCUGCUGUCUCUCUGCUGCCUGCUUUCUUCCAGACUGCUCUUUUUUAAAAAGGUACUAACCUUAGCGAGCCGGGGCUCUCCCACCUCUAGUAAAAAUCUCUUUGCAAGG
This 948-nucleotide long non-coding RNA is filed under the name Rattus norvegicus (Norway rat). RNAcentral's name for it is "long non-coding RNA NONRATT017289". Lineage: Eukaryota; Metazoa; Chordata; Mammalia; Rodentia; Muridae. The record is from RNAcentral.